GCAGACAGAAGAGGAGCGUUACCCAGGUAUCUAGGAUUGCGGGGCCCCACCCCAAGGCAGUCUGGAGAGGGGGAGUAGCGCCGAGAUAUGUUGUGACAGGGGGCAUGGCAUAUCGGCUUGGAAGGUUGAAUCCUUCUGGCUGUCACCUUUCCAGACGAUAUAGGUAGUGGAAAGGUGGGGAGCUUCUGGUUGU
Molecule: non-coding RNA, 193 nt
Filed under: Photobacterium ganghwense
Lineage: Bacteria; Pseudomonadati; Pseudomonadota; Gammaproteobacteria; Vibrionales; Vibrionaceae
Description: Lysine sequence
Rfam family: Lysine riboswitch aptamer
About the family: Riboswitches are metabolite binding domains within certain messenger RNAs that serve as precision sensors for their corresponding targets.
Source: Rfam by way of RNAcentral